GUCUAUGGCCAUGCCACCCUGAAUGUGUCCGAUCUCGUCUGAUCUCAGAAGCUAACCAGGGUUGGGCCUGGUUAGUACUUGGAUGGGAGACACCCGGAAAUACCAAGUGCUGUAGGCG
Molecule: ribosomal RNA, 118 nt
Filed under: Pteropus alecto (black flying fox)
Lineage: Eukaryota; Metazoa; Chordata; Mammalia; Chiroptera; Pteropodidae
Source: RNAcentral